UACGUAGGGGGCUAGCGUUGUCCGGAAUCAUUGGGCGUAAAGAGCGCGUAGGCGGCUGGAAUAGUCCGGUGUGAAAUCCACAGGCUUAACCUGUGAAUGCCGCUGGAAACUGUCUGGCUAGAGUCCGGAAGGGGCGAGUGGAAUUCCUGGUGUAGCGGUGAAAUGCGCAGAUAUCAGGAGGAACACCUGCGGUGUAGACGGCUUACUGGACCAUAACUGACGCUGAGGCACGAAAGCGUGGGUAGCAAACAGG
Molecule: ribosomal RNA, 253 nt
Filed under: uncultured bacterium
Lineage: Bacteria
Description: partial 16S ribosomal RNA
Rfam family: Bacterial small subunit ribosomal RNA
Source: RNAcentral